RNAcentral lists this long non-coding RNA (1670 nucleotides) under Lupinus angustifolius (narrow-leaved blue lupine). RNAcentral's name for it is "long non-coding RNA (LANG_LNC000755)". Lineage: Eukaryota; Viridiplantae; Streptophyta; Magnoliopsida; Fabales; Fabaceae. The record is from RNAcentral.
GGCCACCCAUUGGGUUGAAAAAGUUUGAGACUCUUUCUUACUUGCCACCACUCACCACAGAGUCUUUGGCAAAGGAAGUAGAUUACCUUAUUAGGAAUGGAUGGGUUCCUUGCUUGGAAUUUGAGUUGGAGGUUAAUUUUCCUUCUGCCUCUUUCUCUUGUUUUAGAUGUUACUCACACAUACAUGAUUAUUUUGUAUUUAUCAUAAUUAUAGAAAAUUGUAAGAAAAUGUUAUUGACUAAGGAUUAUCCAUGGGAGAGAAAGGUGCUACAUAAAUAAAAGGAAAAACAAUAUCCAAAACACUUUUAUCAUUUUAUUCACAAAAUAAUAUUUUUGUCACAGAACUUCACACUCCAAUAAUAAAGUGAAAGUUGAGGUCUAUAAUUUAAAGCAAUAAAUUUACCUCUUUUCUUUAUAUCUAACUCCGAGUGAGACAUAUCUCAAAUGCUAGAGAAAAUGAGAUCUAGAGUAGGAGGAUAUUUUAAUCUUUUAAAUUGUGGGUACAAGAAUUACAUUGCAUUUAUUACUACUUAUUACAAUUUGGGUUGGUGUGCCAUUCCCUAUAUCACAUUGUAAUUUAAAACAUUAUACAUUUUACUAAUAGGGUUAUCAUUAUUGCAUUUGUUACUAUGAUUAUUGUAAUGUAAAACAUUAUACCUUGUAGUAAUAGGCAUAACACCAGUAUCACAAACUUUCUAACAGCAUUAUGUUAUUGACUUUAAUUUAUCAAUAACAUUAUUAAUCAUCCCAAUCAUAGCACAACUAUGCCAUAUAUAUCUCAUGAGACACCAUAUAUUUCCACCUAUGCUAUAGUACAACACAUCCUAAAUAUUAACAAUUUUUUUGGUACUACCAAUAUUAUUCCCACAUUUUGGGUAAGAUACUAAUUCUUUUUGGGAUGUACGAUUGUCUCACCCAACAAGUGUCACUCACGAGAAUUGAACCCUAACCUUUUGGUCAUUUUGGGAUCUAACGUAGUCUUACACUAGUAGAUCAAUGUCGUGUUGGUAAUAAAUGUUAACAAAUAAUGAAAAGAUGGUAUUAUAGAUUCUUAAUUAUGAACAUUGAUGGGUAAUUUGUUUGUUUAUUUUGCAUGCUAUGUGUGUGUAUAGCAUGGUUUUGUGUACCGUGAGCACAACAAAUCACCAGGAUACUAUGAUGGAAGAUACUGGACAAUGUGGAAGUUACCUAUGUUUGGAUGCACUGAUUCAGCACAAGUGUUGAAGGAACUUGAAGAGGCUAAGACGGAAUACCCAAAUUCCUUCAUUCGUAUCAUUGGAUUCGACAACAAGCGUCAAGUUCAGUGUGUCAGUUUCAUUGCCUACAAGCCCCCAAGUUUCUAAGUUUCUUAAAUUUGCAUGCAAUUUGUACUUAACCAUUGUCAUGAGAACUACCUUUUGUUUUUAAAUUCCAACCAUGUUUGUUUGUAAUUUUUGGUUUUUGAGGUUUCAUCCUGUACUUUGGUUUCUGAUUUCGGAUUUCAUCGAUGGAUGAGAACUUAUGAAUAAAAUGUGUCUUUUAUUGUCAAGAGAAACCCAUUAUCCUUUAUUUACUUGCAGAUGGGUUGAAAUUAUGCUUAUUAGAAGGAAAAAGCUAUGAGAUUGUCUAUAAAAUAAACAAGCAAGGAUAUAUCAAUAUAUGCAUUUUAUCAAAUUAAUAGUGGAUAUAUCU